UGAGAUGGGUCACUUCUUCACUUAUGA
Molecule: non-coding RNA, 27 nt
Filed under: Mus musculus (house mouse)
Lineage: Eukaryota; Metazoa; Chordata; Mammalia; Rodentia; Muridae
Source: RNAcentral